RNAcentral lists this long non-coding RNA (248 nucleotides) under Actinidia chinensis (golden kiwifruit). RNAcentral's name for it is "long non-coding RNA (ACHI_LNC004424)". Lineage: Eukaryota; Viridiplantae; Streptophyta; Magnoliopsida; Ericales; Actinidiaceae. The record is from RNAcentral.
AAGAAACUGCAUAAUCCAAGCCAGGAAGGCACUUUAUCUCUUAUUGAGAAUUGCAAUGAAGGCCAUCACUUUCAUCUUCUUUUACUCUCUAAUUUUAUCCUCACUCCUUGAAUUCUCCAUUGCAUCUGAUACGUUAGUGUCCUCUAGCCAAAGCAAAGAAAGAAACAGUCCAAGAAAGAAACUGCAUAAUCCAAGAAAGGCAUGCACUUUUUCUCUUAUUGAUAACUGCCAAUGAAGGCCUUCAAUUU